AGCGAACGCUGGCGGCAGGCCUAACACAUGCAAGUCGAACGAACUCUUCGGAGUUAGUGGCGGACGGGUGAGUAACACGUGGGAACGUGCCUUUAGGUUCGGAAUAACUCAGGGAAACUUGUGCUAAUACCGAAUGUGCCCUUCGGGGGAAAGAUUUAUCGCCUUUAGAGCGGCCCGCGUCUGAUUAGCUAGUUGGUGAGGUAAAGGCUCACCAAGGCGACGAUCAGUAGCUGGUCUGAGAGGAUGAUCAGCCACAUUGGGACUGAGACACGGCCCAAACUCCUACGGUAGGCAGCAGUGGGGAAUCUUGCGCAAUGGGCGAAAGCCUGACGCAGCCAUGCCGCGUGAAUGAUGAAGGUCUUAGGAUUGUAAAAUUCUUUCACCGGGGACGAUAAUGACGGUACCCGGAGAAGAAGCCCCGGCUAACUUCGUG
Molecule: ribosomal RNA, 433 nt
Filed under: uncultured bacterium
Lineage: Bacteria
Description: partial 16S ribosomal RNA
Rfam family: Bacterial small subunit ribosomal RNA
Source: RNAcentral